Molecule: ribosomal RNA, 491 nt
Filed under: uncultured bacterium
Lineage: Bacteria
Description: bacterial SSU rRNA
Rfam family: Bacterial small subunit ribosomal RNA
Source: RNAcentral
GAUGAACGCUAGCUACAGGCUUAACACAUGCAAGUCGAGGGGCAGCAUGACGAUAGCUUGCUAUUGUUGAUGGCGACCGGCGCACGGGUGAGUAACGCGUAUCCAACCUUCCCGUUGCUAGGGGAUAACCUUGCGAAAGUAAGACUAAUACCCUAUGAGGUUCUUCGCAGGCAUCUAAAGAGAACGAAAGAUUUAUCGGCAACGGAUGGGGAUGCGUCUGAUUAGGUUGUUGGCGGGGCAACGGCCCACCAAGCCUACGAUCAGUAGGGGUUCUGAGAGGAAGGUCCCCCCACAUUGGAACUGAGACACGGUCCAAACUCCUACGGGAGGCAGCAGUGAGGAAUAUUGGUCAAUGGACGAGAGUCUGAACCAGCCAAGUAGCGUGCAGGAUGACGGCCCUAUGGGUUGUAAACUGCUUUUAUAAGGGAAUAAAGUGAGUCUCGUGAGACUUUUUGCAUGUACCUUAUGAAUAAGGACCGGCUAAUUCCGUG